UACCAGCACCCCGAGUGGUCGGGACGAUUAUUGGGCCUAAAGCAUCCGUAGCCGGUUUUACAAGUCCUCCGUUAAAUCCAGCUGCUUGACAGAUGGGCUGCGGAGGAUACUAUAAGACUAGGAGGCAGGAGAGGCAAGCGGUACUCAGUGGGUAGGGGUAAAAUCCGUUGAUCCAUUGAAGACCACCAGUGGCGAAGGCGGCUUGCCAGAAUGCGCUCGACGGUGAGGGAUGAAAGCUGGGGGAGCAAACAGG
RNAcentral lists this ribosomal RNA (253 nucleotides) under uncultured bacterium. Its description in RNAcentral is "partial 16S ribosomal RNA". It matches the Rfam family "Archaeal small subunit ribosomal RNA", at positions 474 to 727 of the family's 1478-position model. The record is from RNAcentral.